AGUAGCUCAGUUGGCUAGAGCAUCAGCCUUCCAAGCUGAGGGUCGCGGGUUCGAGCCCCGUCU
RNAcentral lists this transfer RNA (63 nucleotides) under Bdellovibrionales bacterium RIFOXYD1_FULL_44_7. Its description in RNAcentral is "tRNA-Gly". It matches the Rfam family "tRNA", at positions 6 to 65 of the family's 71-position model. From Rfam's summary of the family: Transfer RNA (tRNA) molecules are approximately 80 nucleotides in length. Lineage: Bacteria; Pseudomonadati; Bdellovibrionota; Bdellovibrionia; Bdellovibrionales. The record is from RNAcentral.